UGCCCAGCAUCUCCCAUCCCUACUUCCUCGUGGUACUGGCCGGGGUACGAGUAACCUUAGGGAAGAUCGGGUAACCAAACCCGGAGGGAACUCUGAUCGUAUGCUGACAGGGAAGG
Molecule: ribozyme, 116 nt
Filed under: Aedes aegypti (yellow fever mosquito)
Lineage: Eukaryota; Metazoa; Arthropoda; Insecta; Diptera; Culicidae
Description: drz-agam-1 ribozyme
Rfam family: drz-agam-1 ribozyme
Source: Rfam by way of RNAcentral